Long non-coding RNA from Cotesia glomerata, 299 nucleotides. RefSeq lists it as uncharacterized. The record is from RefSeq and is a predicted model, not a curated record. The transcript is spliced from 2 exons. Lineage: Eukaryota; Metazoa; Arthropoda; Insecta; Hymenoptera; Braconidae.
GUAGUCAUAGUUUGACACUUGUGAGUGAGUCCCCAAGGUGGAGGUGUCGGCAGUGAGAGUGGGGAGAGCAGAGGAAGAAAGAAACGCACCGACAAAAUUCGGAAGAGUCAUUGUGACCGAACAGUCAAACCGAACAGUCGCGCAAAAAUUAAUAGCAAAGCACAGAUUCAUAAAAUAUUCGGAGAAACGAGUGACGGUGACCGAGGUCUCGCUGCCAAGCAGAAUUUUCCACCGAGGAGGGAUUUGUACCAGUGACGACGACAAGGAGUUGUAGCUCUUCGAGGGAGUUCAUUAACGUC